RNAcentral lists this ribosomal RNA (406 nucleotides) under uncultured bacterium. RNAcentral's name for it is "partial 16S ribosomal RNA". It matches the Rfam family "Bacterial small subunit ribosomal RNA", at positions 30 to 526 of the family's 1533-position model. The record is from RNAcentral.
AUUGAACGCUGGCGGCAGGCCUAACACAUGCAAGUCGAACGAGUGGCGGAGGGGUGAGUAAUGUCUGGGAAACUGCCCGAUGGAGGGGGAUAACUACUGGAAACGGUAGCUAAUACCGCAUACCAUCGGAUGAGCCCAGAGGGGAUUAGCUAGAAGGUGGGGUAAUGGCGCACCUAGGCGACGAUCCCUAGCUGGUCUGAAAGGAUGACACGCCACACUGGAACUGAGACACGGUCCAGACUCCUACGGGAGGCAGCAUUGGUGAAUAUUGCACAAUGGGCGCAAGUCUGAUGCAGCCAUGCCGCGUGUAUGAAGAAGGCUUUCGGGUUGUAAAGUACUUUCAGCGAGGAGGCGUUACUCGCAGAAGAAGCACCGGCUAACUCCGUGCCAGCAGCCGCGGUAAUUC